UUACAGAUAAUGCGCAUGAACGGGGUGCGAUUUUAGGUAAUCCGUGCUUUAGAUUUUCUUGCUCCAACUUUUCUUCGGUUGGGCUGACCCCUGCGAUUACCCCUAAUGUGGGUAACUCGGGUGCAUAAUUUUUGGUAGUCGGGACUGCGUUCGCGCAGACCCGGU
Molecule: small nuclear RNA, 165 nt
Organism: Schistocerca piceifrons (Central American locust)
Lineage: Eukaryota; Metazoa; Arthropoda; Insecta; Orthoptera; Acrididae
Product: U1 spliceosomal RNA
Exons: 1
Source: RefSeq, a predicted model, not a curated record